UGGCGCAGCAGCAGCCCCGACAAAUCGACGCCGCUGAGGAGGGGCACUGAAGCGGCCCGACGCAGAGGAUGCUCGCCAGCGGCGCCUGCGUCCCGGCUUGAAGUCGAAGAUCUCCUCAGGGAGAUCCUUCUGCGUCUCCCUCCGCAGCCUUCCUCCCUCCCGCGUGCCUCUGCCGUCUGCAAGCGCUGGCAUGACCUCGUGACUGAUCCCAAGUUCCUACACUGCUUCCGCGUCCACCACCAGAAGCCGCCCCUCCUCGGCUUCUUCCACAUGCGCAUAUACGAUAUCGUCUUUACCCCUGUUCUGGACCCUCCGGACCGCAUCCCUCCUCAGCGAUUCGACCUGAGGCUGCGCGACGUUGAAAGUGGCACGCAGUUGAUAAUUGGCAUAUGGGGUGAUAUCAUCUCGGUAGAUGUUCCACAUAGGCUUGUUUUCGCUCAUAUCCCUGGGUUACUUGUUGGUAAUGCCCUUUACUGGUUGUUGGCUAUUAUAAGCGACGGCAUACUUAAGUUUGAUUUGGAUGAGCAGAGCCUAGCUGUGAUCAACGGGCCUACCAUUGCAAAUGAUGUCUACCAUGCCAGCCAUUGGAUAAUCCAACUUGAGGAUGGCGCCGUUGCCAUGGCCAUAUUGUCUUACCCUCGCUUCCAAAUGUGGCAAAUGGAUGUGAGUUGCCAUGGUGUUGUCACAUGGAUGGUGUUGAAGACCAUUGACAUGCAUGACAUUCCUGGGCUCCCUCCUCAGAUUGAAAGAAAUAAGGCAACCAUGAAAAGCAUAGUGGGAUGCGUCCAGGAUACUAAUGAAUUUCUUUUAUCUGUGGACGACAACGUCUAUAUGGUUCAACUUAAGUCAAUG
RNAcentral lists this ribosomal RNA (852 nucleotides) under Triticum aestivum (bread wheat). Its description in RNAcentral is "partial small subunit ribosomal RNA". Lineage: Eukaryota; Viridiplantae; Streptophyta; Magnoliopsida; Poales; Poaceae. The record is from RNAcentral.